This 491-nucleotide ribosomal RNA is filed under the name Pagurus bernhardus (common hermit crab). RNAcentral describes it as "partial 16S ribosomal RNA". It matches the Rfam family "Bacterial large subunit ribosomal RNA", at positions 1912 to 2608 of the family's 2925-position model. Lineage: Eukaryota; Metazoa; Arthropoda; Malacostraca; Decapoda; Paguridae. The record is from RNAcentral.
CUGAUUAUAUUAAAGAGCCGCAGUAUUCUGACUGUGCGAAGGUAGCAUAAUAAAUUGUCUUUUAAAUGGAGGCUUGAAUGAAAGGUUGGACAAAGUAUCAUCUGUUUCUUAAAUAUUUAUUGAAUUUGACUUUCAAGUGAAAAGGCUUGAAUAAAUUAAAAAGACGAUAAGACCCUAUAAAUCUUUACAAUAAACAUGUUCUAUGUUUUAAUUUAUAAGUAUAUAAAAUAUUAAAUUUGUAUUUGUUUCGCUGGGGCGGCGUGGAUAUAUUAAUAAACUGUCUAUGUGCUAAAUCCAAUAAUUAUUGAUUAGUGAGAUUGAUCCUUAAAUAGAUUAAAAGAUUAAGAUACUUUAGGGAUAACAGCGUUAUUUUUUUUGAGAGUUCUUAUCGAAGAAAAAGUUUGCGACCUCGAUGUUGAAUUAAAGUAUCUUUAUGGUGCAGCCGCUAUAAGAGAGAGUCUGUUCGACUUUUAAUACUUUACAUGAUCUGA